AGUCUGGCCUGCCCACUGAUAAAAUUAAAGGGCUGCGGUAAUUUGACCGUGCAAAGGUAGCAUAAUCVAUAGUCUUUUAAUUGGAGGCUUGUAUGAAAGGCUUGACAAGAAAAUAACUGUCUAUUUAAUAUAAAUUGAAUUUAACCUUUGUGUGAAAAGGCAUAAAUAAUUUAAGGGGACGAUAAGACCCUAUAAAACUUAAUAUUUAAAUGUUUUUAUUGAAAAUUAGGUGUAGUAAAUUAAAAAGAACUAUUUAUUAUUUUGCUGGGGAGGUAGAGAUAUAAAAUUAAAAUAGCUGUCUUUAAAAAUAAAAUAAUUAUAAUUAGAGUAUGAUCCAAUUGUUGUUGAUUAUAAGUUCAAGUUACUUUAGGGAUAACAGCGUAAUUUCUUUUGAGAGUUCUUAUCGACAAUGAUAGUUGCGACCUCGAUGUUGAAUUAAAAUUACUUCUGGGAGCAGGCAUCUAGAGAGUGAGUCUGUUCGACUUUUAUAAUUUUACAUGAUUUGAGUUCAAACCGGUGUGAG
RNAcentral lists this ribosomal RNA (523 nucleotides) under Betaeopsis aequimanus. RNAcentral's name for it is "partial 16S ribosomal RNA". It matches the Rfam family "Archaeal large subunit ribosomal RNA", at positions 1946 to 2696 of the family's 2987-position model. Lineage: Eukaryota; Metazoa; Arthropoda; Malacostraca; Decapoda; Alpheidae. The record is from RNAcentral.